Long non-coding RNA from Hyla sarda, 844 nucleotides. RefSeq lists it as uncharacterized. The transcript has 3 exons. Lineage: Eukaryota; Metazoa; Chordata; Amphibia; Anura; Hylidae. The record is from RefSeq and is a predicted model, not a curated record.
GUCCCUGCGCAGCAGACGUCCCUGUGCGUCGUCAAGGCAAUGUCACUAGUCCGGGGCCAGCCCGGAGCUGAGAAGAGGGCCUCCUGGUGAAAAUGGACAGCCCGGAACGACUAACCCUCCCCACCAGAUGGCCCCUGCAGCAUAGAUGGCCCAGACCAGCUCACCCUUCCUUCCCACCGAGGGGAGUAAAUCCCAGAAGAACAUGAAAGGAAGAAUCUGAGCAAUUUCUGCAGAAAACUUCCUGUGCCUGAUCCAGAAGCUGUCAUUUGAACAGCAGUAGAUGCAUUUCCUAAUGUAAAGAACCCGCGUGCGUUGUGCCGACUACAAGCUGUACUUAAUUUUUUUGUGAGUGCUGGAGUUAAAAUAGCAGCUCAUUUGGAGACGACGUCUGAGCCUCAGACACGGAGGGCAGGUGUUCCACAAUGUUCUCUUUCCAUUUUGUAGAAAAUUGAAAGAUUUAAUGUUGCAAACAGGGGCAUACAGAGUACUGUGGAAGCAGCAGGGUCCACGGGAAGAGAUGCGCAGAACAUGUACCUAACUGGACGCUGCUGUGAGCAAUACCCUGUCCGCCUUGUUAUUUCAAGGUUCCUGACGCCACAUGAAAUGAACAAAAGGACCCCCCACGGUGGUGCAGUCACUUAGAGGUGAAGAUUAUCCAGCAUUGUGUGAAAUUGGCCUAACUAUGGGCCUAAGGCUGAACAUACACUUUAGAUCACUGUUGGCUGAACUUACUGAUUUUAUAAGAAGAUGGAGGCCUCUAACUUGUGGGGGAAAGGAGAAUCAUAUCCAGGACAAGCCAUCAGUCAGUGACCAUCUACAACAAACACUUAAAAAUAAAACUUUU